Molecule: RNA transcript, 1593 nt
Organism: Aphis gossypii (cotton aphid)
Lineage: Eukaryota; Metazoa; Arthropoda; Insecta; Hemiptera; Aphididae
Exons: 9
Source: RefSeq, a predicted model, not a curated record
AAAGGAUGUGGUGUCCUGCCACAGCCACAGCCACCGCCAACGCCGCCGUCGCUCCUCUCUGCCGCCGACGCCGCCGCCGCCGCCGCUAACGCUACCGCUAACGUCGUCACCGCCACCGCAGCGGCCGCCCGACGCCGUUUUUCUAUUGUUAUCAACAGACGACAACGCGCCGACUGCGGCGCACCGGUAGGCGCAGUGGUGGUGGUCGUCCGUCGUCGCCGGCCGCGCUUUCAUAAAACGCGACCACGCCGCCGCCGCCGCACACGCGUCGUGUUGGCCACGAGAGAAACGUGUCGACACCGCUGCCGCUGCCGUCGUCGUCGUCGUCCGAUGUCUCUUGUUUUCGACGCGUCGCACGUUGAACGACGAUCACAUCACAGAGAAUCAGUUCAGCUUGGAAUGAUGUUUAACCACAGUAUAUUUUAAAGGAAACAAAUUGUUUUUUACGUUAUACUAUGGCCAUUCUCCAAUCUUGCUGUUGUUUUCAAUCUCUUAGAACGGGAUGUUAUGCCAGCGUCAUUUAUGCAAUGGCAUAUUUUAGUUUAAAUACUAGCAUACUGGGAUCAUUUAUACAUCUUGAAAGACCAUAUUGGACUGGGAAUGGAACCGCUCCGCAAAGCAAAAGUUUCCUAGAACCAGAAAAAAUUUCUGAAACUACAGUGGUUUUUCAUAUGGUAGUUUUGGUGUGCGCAGGAUGCGGUAUCCUGACCAGUAUCGUGUUGUUGAUAGGAAUUUAUUUUGAUCUCAGAGUUCUAUUCGUACCUUGGAUAUUUGCAAUGAUCUUAGCAACUACUGUUGAUGUCGCACAUUCUAUAUAUUUAUAUGGACUUGAUACGGUUGAAUUCAAUCCGCCGACAGCAAUUUUGUAUACUAUUGAUUUUUUCCUACUAAUUUUAAACCUGUACGCGGUACUCUGUGUGAUAUCUCAAUAUCAAGAACUAAUGGCGGGCAGAGGUACUGCGCGUUUUGAACAAACCUUGAAGAUAUCACCAGUGAGGUACACAUGCCAGCCGACAGGCACCAGUUGUCUAAGUUCGAGGCGACCUGCUACUCUGCCAGCGUCACCAACGCAGAGUCCCACGAAGACCACAGUAACCGCUACAGCGAGUUCAGUAGUGAUUGCAAGUGGUGGAACGUCCUCGGGUUCACGCAGGGGUUCCAGGAAACAUGUCCAGUUCCCGGAUUUCGAUGCUCCCAAUUUAAAGUCCUCGGACCUGUUGCACGCGAACUGGAAGCAAGGAUCAUCGCCGCCGCCCGAACAGGGAACCGUGACACCCACAGGUUAUAUAUGAACUGGUGCAACUCAUUUAAGGACAUUUAAAAUACUUUCACUUACCCUUCAACAAUUAUCGAGUCAACAGCUGCUAAUCGCUGACAACCGGCCAAGCCAUUUACAAGCCGAACUGCUGCAGAUAUCCACACAAGAUUGUUCAAAAAAGUUUACAAUAGAUCUUUAGACUUGAUUCAGGAGUACAUUUUUAAGCGGUGUCACACAUCCAAUAUAGCCUUAUUAUAUAAUUUAAUAUACAAUAUUAUACAUUAUGUAAUAUUUUCUUUGAUAAUAUAAAACUUUUAUUGUGUGACAAAACAUUA